AACGAACGCUGGCGGCAUGCCUAACACAUGCAAGUCGAACGAGACCUUCGGGUCUAGUGGCGCACGGGUGCGUAACGCGUGGGAACCUGCCCUUAGGUUCGGAAUAACUCCCCGAAAGGGGUGCUAAUACCGGAUAAUGUCUUCGGACCAAAGAUUUAUCGCCCUUGGAUGGGCCCGCGUUGGAUUAGCUAGUUGGUAGGGUAAAAGCCUACCAAGGCGACGAUCCAUAGCUGGUCUGAGAGGAUGAUCAGCCACACUGGGGCUGAGACCCGGCCCAGACCCCUACGGGGGGGCGGAGUGGGGAAUAUUGGGCAAUGGGGCGAAAGCUGAUCCCGCCAUGCCGGGUGAGUUAUGAAGGGCUUUGGGUUUUAAAGCUCCUUUUCCCGGGGUGGUAAUGACAGUACCGGGAGAAUAAGCCCCGGCUAACUCCGUG
Molecule: ribosomal RNA, 433 nt
Filed under: uncultured bacterium
Lineage: Bacteria
Description: partial 16S ribosomal RNA
Rfam family: Bacterial small subunit ribosomal RNA
Source: RNAcentral